CGGCAGUGGGGAGAGGAGCCGUGCGGGAGGCGAUUCCUGGUCGCCGGCAAGGAGCGGCAGCAGAGGACCGGCCGGCGAGGAGCGACGGCAGAGGACCGGCGAGGAGCGGCGGUAGUGAAUCGGGGUGGCUUGCCCCUUGUGCCACUACGGAUUCAAUUAUGGCUAAGAAAUGGAAACUUGAAACUGUGGGACAUCCAUCUCCACCGAGAAGAAAUACAAGAGCAACUUCCAAAUCAGAUUUGGAAGGUUGUGGUGCUGGUGGGUCCUCACACAACAUGCUAGUGAUGCUGCCCCCUUGUGGAAGAGGGUCACUAGAGCAAGUUGCAGAAAUAUCAAGGGAAUGCCAGAUCAAGAUGUGGAAAACAAGAGGCGCAAAAAAAGGCAUCAUCAUGGGCGAUGAAGUAAAGCAGAAAUCAAAAGGGAAAGAGGUGAUGGAUGAACGCCACAUAAUUAAGAAGCAACCAGAUAAGGACUUGAGGAAAAAGGGAUCAGCUAGGAGGCUCAUACUUAUUAACAACACACUAGAAGAUCCUCAAAAAAAUGCUAUCGAACAUGUCGGUUUUGGGGAGCUGCUUCUAGUUCAAUGUUGGUCAAUUCCAGAGAAGCUAUCUUCCUGGCUCAUCAAAAGAUUUGAUAUCACAAGAUCCGAAUUGGUCAUACCACAAGAUCCGAAUUGGUCAUACCGUACAGGGGCAGAAUAAAAGUUGAUGACCACACUGUCCACAGGAUCUUGGGGCUCCCAAUGGUUGGAGAGCACAUCUAUUAUGCAAAGAAUAGUUUCGCUGAUACAUAUGAAGAAUUUUACAAAGUUUUCAACUAUGAAAAUGACCAAAAAGCACCAAUAUUUACUGAAGCUGAAAAUUGGCUAUUGGGUGAGGGAAAGAAGAGGAGUGACACCUUAUGGCUGUGGUAUUGGCUUGAGUUUGCCAUCAGCUCAUUCUUGUGCCCUACUUUAAACCCAAGUUUGUGUGUGCGGGCGUUCCAUGCGAUCACAGAUAUAGAAAAGAUCGACAAAUACAAUUUGUGCAGGUUUGUAGUUGAAAGAUUGAUUAGAGGCAUCACGGAGUUCAAUGAAGUAGGAAAAAAAUCAGUGUGAGGCUGUCUUUUUCUCCUUACGAUUUUGUAUUUAGAUGCCCUCGACAUCUGUGAUAUUGUAGAUCAAACUGCAAAAGUAAGAGCUUCUGUUUGGACACAAAGCUUGGUUACCAGAAUCACUGCAAUGGAUAGGGUAUCCAGCACUGAAUUCGGGAAGUUACAUGUGAAUCAUUUGUCCCCUUUUUUUCCCCUAGUUUUCCUUAGAGUAUCAAUCUGCAUGUUGUCUUAGUAUCAACUUACUCAUGGACAUGUAUCAACUUACAUCACCACCAUGAGUCAAGUUGACUGUAUACAUCAUAUAAAUUUUUUUUGCAGCUCAAAGCUAAGUACCAAAUGAACUCCCCCAACAUGCUCAUACAACCAGAAAGGAUUGAUGAGUUUGUCAACUCCAACAUGCCCGCUGAAUCGGUCACCAUGGAUAGGAACACCUUCAAGCAAGCCAUCAACGAGUUCAGCUUGGCCAUCAAUGAAGCGGUGGUAAAUCUUACCUUACAACUAUCUCAAGGCGGCAAGCAGACACCAAUCAGCACAGGUGCACCAGCAAGAGCACAGAGCACUAGUGCAGCUGCGGCAGAAAAACAGAGCAGCCCGACAGCAGCAGAAGACGAAGAUGCUGAGUUCAAAGAUAAAAGUGACACACCCUCCGAGGGGGAUCUCGAGUAUGUUGAGGAGUCUGAAGACGAGACCAUUGUUAAUCGUGAGCACAGGUCCAAAAGAAAACAAGAUGUACAUGUGGGAAAGGGUCAUUGAAGUAGUAGUGAGGAAUUGGAAGAUUAUGCCGAUUCAGAUUCUACAACGAUUGGAGAGAAGAUGCGGAAGACGAGCCUAUUGGAUAUAAAUGAGGGAUCUCAAUUUGCUUGCAACACCCAAUCGCUAGACAUUGAUAUCACCGGCAAUACUGCAACACAAAGAGAUGGUACACAAGAAGUUGACAUCACCGGGCUGCAGAGCAAACAAAAUGAUGAUGAAACACAAGAUUUUCAGCUCAAAGCAAGGAGAAAGGUAUCUCUCAAAGCAAAGAAGACAACAAAGAUGGUGAUGACAAAGAAGACAAAGAAAACACACCACUUGCAAAUUGCGAUGAUGCUAAAGGCAAACAGCCAAGGAAAGACAACCACCAAGAUGAUGAAGGACAUAGUGGGGCCAACAAAGAAAAAGAUGAAACCAACAAUUCCGGAAAGCAAGCUGCAAGCAAUAUAGGGGACGAAAGUGGAAAUGCAAGUCAAAGGUUAACACCUCAAAAUUCAAAAAGGGAUAGAAGAUAUAGAAGCCUCAGGCAAGUGCAGUGAUGUGUAUGGAGAUUCGGAGCCUAUCUCUCCAAUAAAUACGCUGAGUAUCAGAGAAGAGAUGGAAGCAUUAGGGCUACUUGAUGAUACACUACCAGGUCGUGCGACUGCAAAGCAAAUGGUUUUUGAAACGAUAGAGAUUUUAGAAGUGAGUGCAACAGCGGAGGUGAAGAAAAUGGUUGAGGAUUGCAUGCAGCUACCUAUGCCGGACUCCGGAUUAAAUCUGCCACUCAAAGAAGAAUCUGAGAAGUUCGAGACUAAACAAAUCAAAGAUGCCAUCGACAACCACCUAUCUCUAGAAACAAAGAAAGAAUUGAGGACCAAGGGAACUGCUACAAGGAUAGAUUUUAUGACUAGAAAGAAGUUGGUGGCUAAAAGUUCCAAGGCUGCAUGCCUCUUGCCUCCACUUGCACCAAAAAAGGAUAAUGGAAAGAAAACUUCAGACAAAAUGCAGCUCCCCCAAGAAGUAAAGGGUGCAAACGAGCUCAAGAAAAACAGCAAAAGCCCACAGAGCAAUGAAAAUAAAAAAGAUGAAGCAUCUGCAGCAUCAUCAACAGCAGCAAGGAUAAAUGUUUACACCAGGAAGCCAAGGAAAAAUUUCAACUGAAAUGGAGAAGCUAGUAGAAGCCUCCCUUCCAAUAGACAAGGGUGAAGAGAGCAAAGGCCCGCUGGCAGCCAAAAAGUUAGAUGAGAAAGCUAAGUUGCGAGCAAUUUUUUUUAAGCACUACCUUGACAUAUUCAACCAGCAAAUUGAGUACAAAUGGUUUUUCCCCAACAUUUUUCCUUCUUUUUGUUUUGGCAGGGCUUUUCCAUUGAGGGAGGAAGCAAUCUUCCAAGCAUUCGCACUAUUGAGGAGAUCUAGGAAUCUAAAGGAUACAAGGACGCCCGAGACGUACCCAGCUUCUCACUUGGGUUUGAUGAUGAUGUUACCCAGAAGAGCCCAAGUAAAUCAACAGUUGACGACUCUAUCACCGCCUCAAUGUUUGACCAACUUUGUGAUGAUGCCAUGAAGGGAUUAGCAAAGCAUCGAGAUUACCCCACUAUAAACACAAACCAUGUGAGCCCGCAGCAAGAAACUAUGUACAAGGAAAUUUGCAAGUGGAGGUCGCGGUCCGGUGCUGAUACCAGUCCGGACGCAUUCAAGUCAAAAGAAAUCAUAGCUACUGUGAGUGAGCUAGCAAAUAGCAUGGCCAUGGGCAGUUCGCUAAACACAAUUGCGCUCCAAGUUGGGACAUUUGUAUUGUCGAAAGAUCCAGCACAAAGGAGGAAGAAAAUAAUGUCACCAUGGGUAGGGUUGAAGAUGAUGACACCAACAGAAGCAUAUUGCAGGAUGGUUGAGAAAGCAUUUGACUUCCUCAACACAAAAUACGACAUGAUAUGCUCCUGAAAACAUUCCUCCCUGCUUUUUUGUUCCUGUCUAGUUAUUUACACUGUAGCACACAAGUUGCGCCACCCAACUAGCAACUUACAUAUGAAUUAACUAUCAAGUUGUCUAUUUUUUGAAAUCCAGAUCUUGUUCCCAAUCCAUCAAGCAAAUGAAAACGAACCAGAUGCAGUCGGGCACUGGUUUACAGUUGUAUUAAACCUGGCAGAUAAAAAGUUCCAAGUCAUUGAUUCUCUAAGGUCCCCUGGCACCCCGUCACUAGUUCUGAAAGCACAAAUGGUUCGCGCAAAGAUCAUAACACUAUGGAAGAAGUACAUGGCAAAGCACGAUGGGUGCACAGUCUCCGCUAUUUUUAGCUAUGAUCUUCAAUAUAUCUCGGGCUACCGGCAAUUCAGAAUCCAUGAUUGCGGAUUGUUCACCCUCAAGGCGAUUGAGUAUUGGGAUGGAAGCCGGCUGCCCAAAAUUAUUGGAUCUAGUGAGGUAAAUUUGCGGAAACAAGUUCUUCACGAGUGGAUCACUAGUCCAGCAAACCAAGCUGAUUGGAAGAACAAUCUCUGCCAAGGAAGUGAGACAAAGGGGGAAGAGGCUGGUUCUAGCACAUCAAUGGGGAAAAGGAUAUAGAGGAAGCAUCGGAAGGGGCAAGAAAUGCAAAAACGGAGCAUGGAUGAUGUUUUUCUUUUUUUCUCUUUCUUUCAAGGAUAAUGUGUAACAUAAGAUAUUAAUAUUGUAUUUCAUGUCCAUCACCUUUUUUUUAUGCGUCCUUUUUAGCUAAAGAUUUUGUAUGAUGGGUGUUCUGUGCCUGAACUGCAAUGUUACAAUGUUACACCCAUUAUUA
Molecule: long non-coding RNA, 4600 nt
Organism: Panicum virgatum (switchgrass)
Lineage: Eukaryota; Viridiplantae; Streptophyta; Magnoliopsida; Poales; Poaceae
Exons: 13
Source: RefSeq, a predicted model, not a curated record